This 400-nucleotide ribosomal RNA is filed under the name uncultured bacterium. RNAcentral's name for it is "bacterial SSU rRNA". It matches the Rfam family "Bacterial small subunit ribosomal RNA", at positions 356 to 773 of the family's 1533-position model. The record is from RNAcentral.
GGGGAAUAUUGGACAAUGGGGGCAACCCUGAUCCAGCAAUGCCGCGUGAGUGAUGAAGGCCUUCGGGUUGUAAAGCUCUUUUGUUAGGGACGAUAAUGACGGUACCUAACGAAUAAGCUCCGGCUAACUUCGUGCCAGCAGCCGCGGUAAUACGAAGGGAGCUAGCGUUGUUCGGAAUUACUGGGCGUAAAGGGCGCGUAGGCGGUUAUCUAAGUCAGAUGUGAAAGCCUUGGGCUUAACCUGAGAAUUGCAUUUGAUACUGGAUAACUAGAGAUCGAGAGAGGUAAGUGGAAUUACGAGUGUAGAGGUGAAAUUCGUAGAUAUUCGUAAGAACACCAGUGGCGAAGGCGGCUUACUGGCUCGAUACUGACGCUAAGGCGCGAAAGCGUGGGGAGCAAAC